Molecule: ribosomal RNA, 465 nt
Filed under: uncultured bacterium
Lineage: Bacteria
Description: partial 16S ribosomal RNA
Rfam family: Bacterial small subunit ribosomal RNA
Source: RNAcentral
CCUACGGGUGGCAGCAGUAGGGAAUCUUCCACAAUGGGCGAAAGCCUGAUGGAGCAACGCCGCGUGGGUGCAGAAGGUCUUCGGAUCGUAAAACCCUGUUGUUAGAGAAGAAAGUGCGUGAGAGUAACUGUUCACGUUUCGACGGUAUCUAACCAGAAAGCCACGGAUAACUACGUGCCAGCAGCCGCGGUAAUACGUAGGUGGCAAGCGUUAUCCGGAUUUAUUGGGCGUAAAUGGAACGCAGGCGGUACUUUAAGUCUGAUGUGAAAGCCUUCGGCUUAACCGGAGUAAUGCAUUGGAAACGGGUAGACGUGAGUGCAGAAGAGGCGAGUGGAACUCCAGGUGUAGCGGUGAAAUGCGUAGAUAUAUGGAAGAACACCAGUGGCGAAAGCGGCUCUCUGGUCUGUAACUGACGCUGAGGUGCGAAAGCGUGGGUAGCAAACAGGAUUAGAUACCCGUGUAGUC